CCUUCGGGUUGUAAACCUCUGUCAGAGAGGACGAAAUUGCUCCGAUUUUAUCGGAGCAGGACGGUACUCUCAGAGGAAGCCACGGCCAACUCCGUGCCAGCAGCCGCGGUAAUACGGAGGUGGCAAGCGUUAUCCGGAUUCAUUGGGCGUAAAGGGCGUGUAGGUGUCCCCAUAAGUCGGAUGUGAAAUCCUUCUGCUCAACAGAAGAAUGGCAUUCGAAACUGUGGGGAUUGAGUACAGGAGAGGAGAGUGGAAUUCCUGGUGUAGCGGUGAAAUGCGUAGAUAUCAGGAGGAACACCGGUGGCGAAGGCGACUCUCUGGCCUGAUACUGACACUGAGGCGCGAAAGCUAGGGGAGCAAACAGGAUUAGAUACCCUGGUAGUCCUAGCCGUAAACGAUGCUCACUAGGUGUAGGAGGUAUUAAUUCCUUCUGUGCCGCAGCUAACGCAUUAAGUGAGCCGCCUGGGGAGUACGACCGCAAGGUUGAAACUCAAAGGAAUCGACGGGGGCCCGCACAAGCGGUGGAGCAUGUGGUUCAAUUCGACGAUACGCGAGGAACCUUACCGAGAUUU
This 572-nucleotide ribosomal RNA is filed under the name uncultured bacterium. Its description in RNAcentral is "bacterial SSU rRNA". It matches the Rfam family "Bacterial small subunit ribosomal RNA", at positions 415 to 982 of the family's 1533-position model. The record is from RNAcentral.